GAAUCACAGAAUCACAGAAUCACAAGGUUGGAAAGGACCCAUUGGAUCAUCGAGUCCAACCAUUCCUAACACUCCCUAAACCAUGUCCCUAAGCACUUCAUCCACCCGUUCCUUAAACACCUCCAGGGAAGGCGACUCGACCCCCUCCCUGGGCAGCUGUUCCAGUGCCCGAUGACUCUUACUGUGAAGAAUUUCUUUCUGAUAUCCAACCUGAACCUCCCCUGACGGAGCUUCAGGCCAUUCCCUCUAGUCCUGUCCUCAGUCACUUGGGAGAAGAGGCCAGCUCCCUCCUCUCCACAACCUCCUUUCAGGUAGUUGUAGAGAGUAACAGAGAGACAGAGUUGUAGAGAGUGUGUUUGCUAUGCCCUUCUCUCUUGACCUGCAUCAUCUUUCUGUGAACAAAGGCUUUAUUUAUGAACAUGUCCAGGCACAAAGAAUUACUCACAUUUGCUAAAUACCGAAGAAAAUGUAUGCUUUCUUCUCACUAUUCCUGCCUCCUGGUGCUGAACUGCUCCCACUGCAACAGAUUUUUGGGGUGUUGUAAAAGUGGAGGAGAUCAAAUGAAUGAUGGGCAAGGUCAAUUGAGUGAGCUCUCUUUUGGGUAAAGGCAUGAUGAAAAAACCUGAGAGGCCAAGCUUCUUUUGCUUUUGGCUUGCUACCUUCAGGAUCACAGCCAAAGCUGGUCUGACAUACAAACUGCUCUUCGUCCCGUGGCAACACGUCGUCACACAGUGGAAAGAACUCGUGGAUAUUUAGCAGGGCCAAGGAAAGCUCCCGCAGUACGAGACUAACUUGGUGUAGGAGAUGCUCUUUUCUUGAUGUUUUUGUUCUACUGUAACUUUCCAGAGGAAGAGGAGGAGAAGCGCUACUGAGUUUUCCUUGCAUCCAUGAAGAAUUUUGGACCAAGAAAUGCCUGCAAAGGCCACAGCUCAGUGCCAGGUGUUCUUCCUGCCAAGAGAUGUUGAAGAUCUCGUUCUGAAAAGAUAAAGUCUAGUUUACUUAAACGAGGGGGAUCAGGAACAAUCCCCAGCUCCUGCCGCUGGACGAGGAUUCUACCGCUUCCAGCUGUGACAGAAGAUGUUAUUCUCCAUGUGGAAACUAGGAAGAGAAUUUUGCUGGACUGUUUCGUGUUUUCCCUCUUUAAAGUGCGGCUGCCCUUCGCUCCAACAGAUAAGUGAAUGGCCACAGCAUCGGUAAAGUUUGUGUGUGCGUUUUUUAUAUUGGUGAGGCAUUUCUGUUUGCAAGAACUGAAGGCAAACCCACAGCUUCUGUGAGCUCUUCUGGGUACAAAGUGUGCAUGUGCAUGUCCAAAAGCUCAACAAAGAUAACCAGAAGUGAGAUGGUUCCCUGGCAGCCACCAAGGAGACUGACAUGCAGCCUGCAGUGUAGGGGCUGACCUUGGGACACAGCAGGCUGCAGGCUGUUGGAAAACAUGGGGUUUGGGCUCUGGAACAAGAACAGCCUUUCCACAACUCUGUGGUGU
Long non-coding RNA from Cuculus canorus (common cuckoo), 1483 nucleotides. RefSeq lists it as uncharacterized. The record is from RefSeq and is a predicted model, not a curated record. NCBI's taxonomy places the organism in Eukaryota, Metazoa, Chordata, Aves, Cuculiformes, Cuculidae. The transcript is spliced from 3 exons.